Molecule: ribosomal RNA, 312 nt
Filed under: uncultured eukaryote
Lineage: Eukaryota
Description: partial 18S ribosomal RNA
Rfam family: Eukaryotic small subunit ribosomal RNA
Source: RNAcentral
CCCCUAGACGUUCUGGGCUGCACGCGCGCUACAAUAAUACGCACAGCGAGUAUCACCGAGCUCGAAAGGGCAAGGUAAACAAUAGAAAAGGUACUGUAAUGGUUAUAGAUCCUUGUAAUUAUUGAUCUUCAACGAGGAAUUCCUAGUAAGUAUGUGUCAUCAUCACGCACUGAUUACGUCCCUGCCCUUUGUACACACCGCCCGUCGCUCCUACCGACGAAUCGUCCGGUGAAGUUCAUGGAGUGGUGGUUGUUCCAGCUGCUGUCGAAGUGAAAUGGACCUCACGAUUUAGAGGAAGGAGAAGUCGUAACA